AAAAAAAAAAAAAAAAAAAAACUCAGUAACAGUAUUGCUUAAGAAAAGCAACAACAAAGUCUCGACCAAGAAUGUGCUUUUGUGUUAGCAAUCAUCUCAAUUGAGUUAUUCAACACUAAUAUUUUUUAUUAUUAUAUGAUAAAAAUAUGAAAGUUGGACCAAAAUAAUUUGGUAUUGUAUUUUUAGAUCAUUAAUUUUGUUUUAAUUAAAUGGGUCUCAACUUCAUUAACGUUCCAAAUUAGGGAUGCUUUAGUAGGUAUUAAUUGAAAAAUCUGAAUUCCUAACAAUAUGCACUUGAAUUUGAAUGUUAUUAAUUGAAAAAUCUGAAUUCCCUGUUAAUUUUCGUUAUUAUUUUUUUUUUAAUUUUCAAAUUAGGUUAUUAAUUGAGCCGUUCUACUAGAUGUAGAGACGAUGUCCAAAAUGCAGUAGUCAUAGAGUAAUUCUGUAUUUUGUUUUGUUUUGCUAACAUGCAUUAUACACAUCAUCACACAAAACAUGUUUUAUUAAAAAAAUUUAACACCUGAUCUCUUAUUUCCAUAACAAAAUAUACUCAGAUAAGAUAUUCUUUGGAAAUGAUAGUUACACACGAUGUACUUGUUUUUUUUUUUUGGUUGUAAAUAAAUAAUAAUUUUUUUUUAAAAAAAAUCUAAUAAAUCGUGAUAAAUUCAUUAGCUUGCAAAAUGUGUUCAGAUGAGUAUUCAAAUACUAUAUUAUAUGACUGCCUCUGCCUGAUCUAAGAUUUUUUUCCUUCGUCAUAUUAUAUACAUGGGAAAAUUUCUUGAAUUAAUUGUAUUAUCCGGUCUCGAUUAAUAUUAAAUGUUAUGAUAUUAUUUGAGUGGAUUUCCGCCACACGCACACCGUUUACAUUCAUGUUGAUUCAUCUCACCUUACUUUGCUUCAUCAGCCGACGUCUUAUUAUGUGAUGUUUGAUUUGGAUCACACACCGUUUGUAAUUAAACUGGUGAAUAUUUUGUAUGAGUAGAUGAGCGUUAUUUGUAAUCACUUACUCUUUUAAUAUGUUUUAUAAAAUGAAAAAAGCCCAAGCCUAAUGGCAACACUCACUCCCUGGACGUUAUUCUCCCCGUAUGGAACAUAUUUCGCUCUAAAUAAAUAAUAGGGAUAAUUUACUUCUUGAUGUACAAGUAACCAUUUACACACUCUUAUAAUAAAAAUAAUGUCUAUUAGUCUCAUUACAUAUUUGAUUAUAUAUCAGUGGUAUUCUAAUUAAUUGAAAAAAAGAAAAAAAGGAAGAAGAAUAAGCAAAAUUUAAUUAAUAUUUGUCGUUUGCAUUUCGUCAAGGACCUUCUUGAUGUAUGCCUCUUAAAAGGCAGUGACAAUUUGACAUUAUCGAUGUAUUCUUUGCCUUCAUACCUGAACCGGAGUCUGAAUCUGAGAUAUUUUUAAUAUAAAAUUUACUUUUUAUUCAAAAAAAAUUCCACUCAAAUAAGAAUAAA
This 1454-nucleotide long non-coding RNA is filed under the name Citrus x clementina. RNAcentral's name for it is "Citrus clementina (C. clementina) long non-coding RNA (CCLE_LNC002000)". Lineage: Eukaryota; Viridiplantae; Streptophyta; Magnoliopsida; Sapindales; Rutaceae. The record is from RNAcentral.